AUUGAUUGAAAACCACCUGUGGUCACACUGCCUGUGGCCAUGGAUGAGAUGCAGUGCCUGGAGCUAGUGGGGCUUCAGCCCACUGCCCACUCUGGUGUGAGGAGGUGAAACCCCAACCCCUCUCAUC
RNAcentral lists this small nucleolar RNA (127 nucleotides) under Sorex araneus (European shrew). RNAcentral describes it as "Small nucleolar RNA ACA64 (ENSSARG00000019791.1)". It matches the Rfam family "Small nucleolar RNA ACA64". Lineage: Eukaryota; Metazoa; Chordata; Mammalia; Eulipotyphla; Soricidae. The record is from RNAcentral.